This 659-nucleotide ribosomal RNA is filed under the name uncultured bacterium. Its description in RNAcentral is "bacterial SSU rRNA". It matches the Rfam family "Bacterial small subunit ribosomal RNA", at positions 221 to 880 of the family's 1533-position model. The record is from RNAcentral.
GACGAUGGGGAUGCGUUCCAUUAGAUAGUAGGCGGGGUAACGGCCCACCUAGUCUUCGAUGGAUAGGGGUUCUGAGAGGAAGGUCCCCCACAUUGGAACUGAGACACGGUCCAAACUCCUACGGGAGGCAGCAGUGAGGAAUAUUGGUCAAUGGGCGAGAGCCUGAACCAGCCAAGUAGCGUGAAGGAUGACUGCCCUAUGGGUUGUAAACUUCUUUUAUAAAGGAAUAAAGUCGGGUAUGCAUACCCGUUUGCAUGUACUUUAUGAAUAAGGAUCGGCUAACUCCGUGCCAGCAGCCGCGGUAAUACGGAGGAUCCGAGCGUUAUCCGGAUUUAUUGGGUUUAAAGGGAGCGUAGAUGGAUGUUUAAGUCAGUUGUGAAAGUUUGCGGCUCAACCGUAAAAUUGCAGUUGAUACUGGAUAUCUUGAGUGCAGUUGAGGCAGGCGGAAUUCGUGGUGUAGCGGUGAAAUGCUUAGAUAUCACGAAGAACUCCGAUUGCGAAGGCAGCCUGCUAAGCUGCAACUGACAUUGAGGCUCGAAAGUGUGGGUAUCAAACAGGAUUAGAUACCCUGGUAGUCCACACGGUAAACGAUGAAUACUCGCUGUUUGCGAUAUACGGCAAGCGGCCAAGCGAAAGCGUUAAGUAUUCCACCUGGGGAG